Toxorhynchites rutilus septentrionalis is the source of this 504-nucleotide long non-coding RNA. RefSeq lists it as uncharacterized. NCBI's taxonomy places the organism in Eukaryota, Metazoa, Arthropoda, Insecta, Diptera, Culicidae. The record is from RefSeq and is a predicted model, not a curated record. The transcript is spliced from 3 exons.
GCCGAAAUGAGAGGUCGAGAUUUUAUCAAAUUGGCUGUAUUAUUUCUCAUUAUUUACUCGAGUAGUGUGAACGCUUGGAACAGCAAAAACAACCAGAAGGAACAUAGAUCGAUACUAAAUUUCAGUGCGGCCCCCAAACUGUGGCACCUAGCUAUUGUCGCUCACGCUGCCGCCAUCAUCCUGAAAGUGAGCAUCUUAAUGGUAUUGCUAUUCUACGCUGGCAUCCAUCUAUACGUCGAUAAAGUUAUCCCUGGCAAAAACAUAGGACUGGAAGGCACAACUCCAUCGAACUGAACUGGAUAAAAAUCAUGACAUCAUGGCUGAUGACUCACGGCUUCAACAUCGCAUCAACUAUAUUCUCAUUAUUGCCCAUAAUUCAACUUGUUAAAUUGAAGGUUCUGAUGAUAGUGUGGCUUCUGGUAGGAAUGUAUCUAUACUGGGUGAAGCCACUUCAAUUCGAUCAAAUGCCAUCGACAAAUGUUGGUAACGGCACUUCAAUGAACA